GCCCGAGUGGUGAAAUUGGUAGACACAACAGACUUAAAAUCUGUCGACUUGAAAAGGUCGUACCGGUUCAAUUCCGGUCUCGGGCACCA
This 89-nucleotide transfer RNA is filed under the name Sideroxydans sp. CL21. It matches the Rfam family "tRNA". Rfam says of the family: Transfer RNA (tRNA) molecules are approximately 80 nucleotides in length. The record is from RNAcentral. Lineage: Bacteria; Pseudomonadati; Pseudomonadota; Betaproteobacteria; Nitrosomonadales; Gallionellaceae.